This 46-nucleotide non-coding RNA is filed under the name Trichobilharzia regenti. Lineage: Eukaryota; Metazoa; Platyhelminthes; Trematoda; Strigeidida; Schistosomatidae. The record is from RNAcentral.
AUCCAGGUUGACGAGUCCUAAAUAGGACGAAACGCUCGUCUUUGAU